ACCCUCUUCUCCUCCUCACUAUCCUCCUUUUCUUUCCUCCCUCCUCCUCCUUUCCCCUCCUCUUCUUCCUCCUCACAGGUAACCCCUCCUUCCCUUCUUCCUGAUCUAUGUCUCCUCCUCCUAGCGGUCCAUAAGCCUUUUAUUUUCAUGACGGCUCCUUCUACUUUCAUCCUUUCCUCACUGGUAACCCUUUCUUCUCCUCAUCUACUUCUUCUCCUCAUCUUCCUCCUCCAAACCUGCUCAUGAGCCCUCCCCCCACCUCCACCUAUUCCUCACCAAUGAUCCUUCUUUUUUCCUUCUCUCCUU
This 306-nucleotide long non-coding RNA is filed under the name Elaeis guineensis (African oil palm). RNAcentral describes it as "long non-coding RNA (EGUI_LNC032396)". Lineage: Eukaryota; Viridiplantae; Streptophyta; Magnoliopsida; Arecales; Arecaceae. The record is from RNAcentral.